This 122-nucleotide non-coding RNA is filed under the name Vibrio hepatarius. RNAcentral's name for it is "TPP sequence". It matches the Rfam family "TPP riboswitch aptamer (THI element)". Rfam says of the family: Vitamin B(1) in its active form thiamin pyrophosphate (TPP) is an essential coenzyme that is synthesised by coupling of pyrimidine and thiazole moieties in bacteria. The previously detected thiamin-regulatory element, thi box was extended, resulting in a new, highly conserved RNA secondary structure, the THI element, which is widely distributed in eubacteria and also occurs in some archaea. Lineage: Bacteria; Pseudomonadati; Pseudomonadota; Gammaproteobacteria; Vibrionales; Vibrionaceae. The record is from RNAcentral.
CGAUACUCAUCGGGGAGCUAUUGAUCCUAUCAAUGAUAGGCGAAGCUGAGAUCGAGCCGACGCUCGGGACCCGUGUACCUGAACCAGAUAAUGCUGGCGUAGGAAUUGAGUUUGGACAAUCC